GUAGUAACAAAUUGGAAGCACUUAUGUUAGAACUGAAGAGAAAAUAUGGAAAAACUUAAACAUAUACGAAACUGUAAAAUAUUACUUAGUAAUGUGUAGCUAUGGAUAACCCUGUCUGGACUCAGUCAGAGAUGGAGUGGAGGAAGAACAAGAAGAAAAUAUAUCUGGAAGGUUGAUGGUUUUCAUAAGGUGAAUAAUUCAUUUCUAAGU
RNAcentral lists this long non-coding RNA (210 nucleotides) under Homo sapiens (human). Its description in RNAcentral is "HSALNT0125180". The record is from RNAcentral. Lineage: Eukaryota; Metazoa; Chordata; Mammalia; Primates; Hominidae.